UUAAACUUGGGUGCAUAUUAAAGGUCACAUGAAAUAAAGAUUAUUGGUGAAGGUCCCAAGACUUCCGGUUCUUGAAAGACAAUUUUUCUAAAAUUGAACACAAUUUUUCAAGGGGAAUAACUCCUUAUAAGGCUUAGUAACAAAUUAAUUGUUUAUGUUAAUAAACAUUGCCAUCUGUUCUUGUACAUGCUGCAUUUUCAAAUCGAUUCUAUCUGGAAUGAUUUUUAAGAAAAAUGCAAAAGAAAGAAAUUGCUUCAAGGGGACAUAACUCUCAUAGGGAAUGAUGAAAUCCUUAGCAGCCUCAUAUGGUAAUACAUCAUGAUGAGAUCUAACUAUUGUCCAAAUAAAGUCAUGAUAUCUUUUAAAACAUUUAGGGGGGACCAUGUUGAAUAAAAAUCAAUAAAAGGGAGAUAACUUCUAAAGGGGAUGAUGAAAUCCUACAAAAGUUCAUCUGGUAAAAGUUCAUGAUGAGGUCUAUUGAUGGUUCAAAUUUGGUAUUGAUAAUUCUAA
RNAcentral lists this long non-coding RNA (510 nucleotides) under Mytilus galloprovincialis (Mediterranean mussel). Lineage: Eukaryota; Metazoa; Mollusca; Bivalvia; Mytilida; Mytilidae. The record is from RNAcentral.